RNAcentral lists this non-coding RNA (23 nucleotides) under Arabidopsis thaliana (thale cress). Lineage: Eukaryota; Viridiplantae; Streptophyta; Magnoliopsida; Brassicales; Brassicaceae. The record is from RNAcentral.
UAACUCGCUGAUUAACCCCGUUA